ACGGGUGAGUAAUGCCUAGGAAUCUGCCUGGUAGUGGGGGACAACGUUUCGAAAGGAACGCUAAUACCGCAUACGUCCUACGGGAGAAAGCAGGGGACCUUCGGGCCUUGCGCUAUCAGAUGAGCCUAGGUCGGAUUAGCUAGUUGGUGAGGUAAUGGCUCACCAAGGCUACGAUCCGUAACUGGUCUGAGAGGAUGAUCAGUCACACUGGAACUGAGACACGGUCCAGACUCCUACGGGAGGCAGCAGUGGGGAAUAUUGGACAAUGGGCGAAAGCCUGAUCCAGCCAUGCCGCGUGUGUGAAGAAGGUCUUCGGAUUGUAAAGCACUUUAAGUUGGGAGGAAGGGUUGUAGAUUAAUACUCUGCAAUUUUGACGUUACCGACAGAAUAAGCACCGGCUAACUCUGUGCCAGCAGCCGCGGUAAUACAGAGGGUGCAAGCGUUAAUCGGAAUUACUGGGCGUAAAGCGCGCGUAGGUGGUUCGUUAAGUUGGAUGUGAAAUCCCCGGGCUCAACCUGGGAACUGCAUCCAAAACUGGCGAGCUAGAGUAUGGUAGAGGGUGGGUGGAAUUUCCUGUGUAGCGGUG
Molecule: ribosomal RNA, 586 nt
Filed under: Pseudomonas sp. StFRB452
Lineage: Bacteria; Pseudomonadati; Pseudomonadota; Gammaproteobacteria; Pseudomonadales; Pseudomonadaceae
Description: bacterial SSU rRNA
Rfam family: Bacterial small subunit ribosomal RNA
Source: RNAcentral